AGUUCGUGAGGUUUUGGCCCUCUCAAAAGCCAAUUCCCCGGGGCUCAUAUUCUUAUCUGAAACCAGACAAGCCUCAAAUAAAAUGUAGCGACUCAAGUGGAGAUUACAGAAGAAGGGUUUAGUGGGGGUGUCGAGCCAGGGUCUAAGUGGAGGGCUUGCCCUUUUCUGGGACGAAAGUUUGCAAGUCACAAUUCUAGAUGCUUGUGCACGGUAUAUAGACGUGCGGAUAGUGGAUGCAGCGAAUGAAAAGUCAUGGAGGUCAACCUUUGUGUACGGGGAGCCGAGAGUGGAGAAUCGACAUCGGAUGUGGAGCUUGCUAUCUAACCUAAGGGCGUUUUCUGCCGAGCCUUGGUUAGUAUGCGGCGAUUUCAAUGAAGCUAUGUGGCAACAUGAGUAG
RNAcentral lists this ribosomal RNA (397 nucleotides) under Triticum aestivum (bread wheat). Its description in RNAcentral is "partial small subunit ribosomal RNA". The record is from RNAcentral. Lineage: Eukaryota; Viridiplantae; Streptophyta; Magnoliopsida; Poales; Poaceae.